CAUCUGGUGCCCUUGAAGAUAAGUACACAAAGGGCCUUUUCCAAACUAGCUCCCACACCCUCUCCCUACCUACUUCCACUCCAUUUGCAUGUUCAUGUGGAGGGUCUGCCAUAUUAAGUGUCACCCCAAACCAACUAGCGGGGAGUGGAAGUGGGUUAUAAAUUCCUCCAACAGUGAGCCUGCAUCGAUGCUGACUUACUGAGCAUGUGCAACAUCUAUUGUGUUCGUCAUAGAAGACGCUCCAUACAAAUGGAAGUUCUUUGUGACACCUGUAAACACAUUUAAUCUUAAACUGCUCAAACUAAGAUGGACAUUUAAUAUUGUCAUACAGACGUUAACAAUGUAAAGGUUAUAUUGUAUUUAGGAUCAAAUAUAGCUGUCUCUAGAGUAGAAAAUGUUGUGUUCAUUUGAUUGUAAAAUGUUGUAUAUUUACAGGGAUUGUUGCAAAAACAAAGCAGCUCAUACACAUCAGAGUGAAAAAUGAAAACAUGUUCACCAAAAAAAGAAAUGCCACCAAAGAAGCUUGGGAGUUCAUUAUCAAGGAAUUAGACCUUGAGGGUGUUGUGUCACCCAAGUCUCAAAGAAAUGGGAGAACAUCAAAAAGAUGUACAAGGAACUGAGAAGGCCUCCCACUGGGUCUGGAACCGACCAGGGGGAGGAAACCCCAGCCACAUGGUCAUUUUUUCUUGACAUGCAUGAGGCAAUUGGGUGCAAGUCAUCUGUAACUCCUCCUGUUCUCAUUGCCUCAUGCAUGUCAAGCCCUACUAUACUCCCAGGUCCCUCUCCCUUCAGAAUGUCCGAUUCCAGCCCCAGUGACCCCCUAACCCCAUCAGAUCCUGUUUCCCUCCCUAGCACAUCUUCAUCCUCACCUGACCCCCCCCAGCCUCCACCUGCCAAAAAGAAAUGUGUGACCACUGAGCUGCUGAUUGAUUUUUACAGAAAGAAGCGGACAAGGAAGAAGAGCGACACCAGCAGAUUACACAACAAACAGA
Molecule: long non-coding RNA, 992 nt
Organism: Thunnus maccoyii (southern bluefin tuna)
Lineage: Eukaryota; Metazoa; Chordata; Actinopteri; Scombriformes; Scombridae
Exons: 3
Source: RefSeq, a predicted model, not a curated record